UAAUCACUUUAUCAUUACUUUGAAUAAAAUAGAGUGUUUAAAGCAAACAUUAAGUUAAUGAAUAUUCAAGCAUUGGGACAAUGCUGAGGGGAUGUCUUCGGACAUUUCGAGAGAAGGAUUAAAAGGAACAAUUGGGGUGAUUCAGAAAAUAACGGGAGAGGUGAAAUUCCAUGAUCGCUAUAAGAUGCACGAGAGCGAAAGCAUUUCACUCAACUGGGUCCAUUAAUCAAGAACGAAAGUUAGGGGAUCGAAGACGAUCAGAUACCGUCGUAGUCCUAACUAUAAACGAUGUCAACCAAGGAUUGGAUGAAAUAAAGAAAUUCGCGGAUGAAGAAACAUUGUUUCGGAAACCAAGAGUUUCACAACUACCUUGUUCAGAACUUAAAGAGAAAUCUCGAGUUUAUGGACUUCAGGGGGAGUAUGGUCACAAGGCUGAAACUUAAAGGAAUUGACGGAAGGGCACACCAGGAGUGGAGCCUGCGGCUUAAUUUGACUCAACACGGGAAAACUUACCAAGACCGAACAGUAGAAGGAAUGACAGAUUAAGAGUUCUUUCAUGAUUUAUUGGGUAGUGGUGCAUGGCCGUUCUUAGUUGGUGGAGUGAUUUGUCAGGUUAAUUCCGGUAACGAACGAGACUGAAACCUAUUAAUUAGUUUCCUGCCUAUACGACAGGAAUCUCCGCAAGGUCAGGUGCCUCGGUACCACUUCUUAAAGGGACACAUUUCAAUUGUCU
This 733-nucleotide ribosomal RNA is filed under the name Entamoeba moshkovskii. RNAcentral describes it as "SSU rRNA". It matches the Rfam family "Eukaryotic small subunit ribosomal RNA", at positions 738 to 1431 of the family's 1831-position model. Lineage: Eukaryota; Evosea; Mastigamoebida; Endamoebidae. The record is from RNAcentral.